This 11236-nucleotide long non-coding RNA is filed under the name Brassica napus (rape). Its description in RNAcentral is "long non-coding RNA (BNAP_LNC019141)". Lineage: Eukaryota; Viridiplantae; Streptophyta; Magnoliopsida; Brassicales; Brassicaceae. The record is from RNAcentral.
ACGGGUCUGUCGUGUAGCUGAAGAUGAGCUCCGAGCCGGAGAGUUCUUGAACUGUGAUCGGAGAUUUUCUUGAUUUUCCGAUCACUUUCCCCACCGGCGGCGGCUGUUCGCGGGGGAGGAGGUUGUAGGGGACCUCCCAUCGUUGUUUCUUGGCGUCUGUGAUGUGAACGCGGAGGCGAGUAUCGGUCUCGUGUCUGUGAGAGAAUCCAACGGUUAGAAAUCGAGGAGGUAGUGUAGGGUGCGAAGUAGAGGAUUAAGAGAGUGGUGCUAGUGCUACUUACUUGACGUAGAGGCGGAGGGUGGUGAUGUCUGAGCCGUAGAUUUUGUUCUUCUGUUUGACUUGGAGAUAGCCGAUGAAUCCACCGUCUGGAGAUUCUUCGAUUGAGAUCAAACGGUAGCCUUUGCCGAUGGUGUUGGAGCAGUGGAUGGGUGAGAAACAGAGGAUUAAAGCCACGAGAAGAGAAAGAGAUGAAAAAACUAUUCGUGAAGUGACCAUGGCUAUUUUUAUUCUAGUGAUACUCCACACUCUACAGUGUUAUGUGUAUAAUGAAGAAGAGAGAAAAGACCCUCGAUUAAAGAGCUCGAUGAUAAGUUCGCGAAACACUAAACGAGGGGAUAUAAAUAGUAGAAGAAAAUGUUUAGUCGUUCUUUUAUUUAUUUUAUAAAUAUAAAAAAACUGAUAUUACUAGUAUUAUUUAUCAAAGGGUCUGAUGAUGUCAACAAAAAAAUCAAAGGGUCUGAUAUUUAUUUAUGCGUGUAUCGAUUAAAAAUCGUUAAUACGGGGGGGGGCGGGGGGGCUUAAGCGGGCGGGCUAAAUGUGAAACUGGAGUUUUUUGGGCUUAAGCGGGCGGGCUAAACGUGAAACUGGAGUUUUUUUGCGUGCAGUUCAUUCGUAAAUCAUGGCAAGAUCAAGUGAAAUUCAGAGUUUAUUCCAUAAAUCUGUAGUCAAUUUUAUUUUCUUUUAAGUUGAAUAUGUAUAACCUUUUUAGGUGUCUGGUUAGAGGUUAUUUCCGAAAACCAAUCAGCUUUCAUACCGAGGAGGGCAAUUUCUCAUAAUGUAUUGAUAACUCACGAAGUGUUACAUUAUCUCAAGACUUCGGAAGCACACAAGAAUUGGUCUAUGGCUGUGAAAACAGAUAUUAGCAAAGCCUACGAUCGUCUAAAAUGGAAUUUCUUAGAAAGAGUCAUAUUCCAAAUGGGUUUCCACAUCAAAUUCGUCAAAUAGAUGAUGCAAUGCAUAACUACUGUCACAUACUCCUUUCUAAUUAAUGAUGAGGUGGCAGGGAAAGUCAUACCUUCUCGUGGGAUUCGACAAGGUGAUCCUAUUUCACCAUAUGUUUUCAUUCUCUGCGGCGAGGUCCUUUCUGGUCUUUGCAAAGAAGAUCAGCGUGAUGGUUCGAUGACUGGUAUCAGAGUGGCCACAAAAUGCCCCCGCAUAAACCACCUCUUAUUUGCUGAUGAUACGAUGUUCUUCAUCCACACUAACCACCAGAGCUGUAUCGCCCUGAAAGAUAUUCUAUCAGAAUAUGAGAAAGCAUCAGGGCAAAUGAUUAAUGCAAACAAGUCAUCAAUAUCUUUCUCAGCAAAAACUUCUCAAGAAGAGAGAACCCGAGUAAAGCAAACACUGGGAAUUGAUAAAGAAGGGGGAGUAGGAAAGUAUUUAGGUCUACCUGAGCUAUUUGGAAGGAAGAAAAAAGAUCUCUUUGCAUCUAUAGUAGACUGUAUCAAGCAUCCAACCAGGUCCUUCUCCAGUAGGACACUUCUUCCCUUUGGGGAUCGUGCACAAUCCAGAGCAAAAGUUUGAUACCUCGUUCAUGUCGAUCCAUAGACCAUCUAUAGGGACUAGUUCAUGGAAGCGGCGGAUUUCUUCACCCCACCAAGAAACAGUCUUAGGGUUAAGGAAAUCAGGAAAGUGAACUGCACCGGGCCAUACUUGGGCCAAGAAAGGCUUUCCUUCGUACUUGAUGAACACGUCAUUGGCCAUACCUCGUUGGUAUACACCGUAGCUGGAGUUGACACCAAUACCGGGAUCGUUGAUGACGACAUACUUCAUGCCCAUCUUGUGGAUUCUGUCUAAGAAGUUUAAUAGCUUGGCACGAGGGUAGCUUAUGGGACUCAACGUGAAGUCUUUUUUGGCAUCCAUGUGAUCAUCAUCGUUCCAAAUCACAUCAAGAGGGAUCUUAGCCUUUUGGUAACUGUCCACCACGUCUUCAAUAACUGAUAAGUUACGGUAUCCCCAUCUACAUUGGUGAAAUCCUACAACACAAAUAUUGAAACAAGAUUAUAAGUACUAUAAAAUCAAAUCAAAGAUUUGCUGUAAUAAAUACUUCUUUAAUGUCACAUUGCCGAAACCAAGAUUAUAAUGUCACAUUGCCGAAACCAAGAUUUGCUUCUUCUUUAAUGUCAACUCAAUGAUAGAACCGUGGUCCAGUGGCCACCAUGGACCAAUAUCAAGAUCAUUUAGGGACCAAUUAAAAAUUGCGAGGAUCAACAUUUAACAAAAGAGGAAAGCAAAAGAACACGUCUUCACGUUCUUCUUUAUCUUUUACUAUUUAAAACCCAUAAUUAGAAAGCGACCUCCAUUUAUUCUACAACAUAUCCCACAAAAAGGGUAACCUUUCUAAAAGCUGUGUCGGAGAAAGAUAACCUCUUAACUGUGACUCCAUUACUACAUGUGUCAAUUAUUACAAGACUAUUCAACACAUAGUUCAGUUUUAAAAACCAGAUUUUCUUUUACUAAAGAACAUAAAUCUAAUAGAUUCUCAUUAGCAAAGCAACUGAUACGCAAAUCUAUUUUCAGAAACAUAAUCAUUAAUCACAAAUCCUAUAAGACAAAAUCAUCUUUUAAUUUUAUUUUACCACACAACAUUAAUUUAAUAGAUUCUCAUUAGCAAAUGGUACAUAAAUGGGUGCAAUAAAGCCCUAGGCACUAAGCAAAAAUAACUGCUAACAGCAUUUUCAACCCCAAUGCAAAAUUGACUGCAAAAAGGAGUUGAUUAUGCAGUUGUGAAAAACAAAAAAUACAAUAAAUUUUGUAAUGGGUUGUAGAUGCUAUAAAACGCCUAAAAACUUUAUUAGAUUUAGAUGUCUAUUUAUAUAGAUAAAUCAAAAAUCAAAAAUAUAUAAUCUAUUUAUUUAUUAGAUGUCUAUUUAUAUAGAUUGAAGUUUAUAACAAAAAUUAUAAUACUCAUUUAUAGCAUAAUAUAUUAUUUAGUAUAAUUCAUAACUAAUCCUAUAAAACAAAUAUCAUCUUUUAAUAUUAUUUAACUACCAAAAAAAUAUAUUAAACUGAAACACAAAGGAGAAACAGAGCAAUAAAUGUUUUUACCUAGAGACCAGUACGGCAUGGGAGCUGGCCGUCCGAUUAACGAAGUGUACUGAUCAACGACGUCGAGCGGCGAUGGUCCGGCGACGAAGUAAAAAUCAAAGACUCCUCCAAUAACUUUAUAAGUCAAAGACGUUCCUCUAUAGAACACAUCCAUACCGUUACUAUUAAGAAGCAGAACCGCAUGAGCGUACGGUUUACCUCCAACGUUCCUCAAAUCCAUGUAAACCGGAUGCGAACCAUAAAGAUCGGUGUUGAGGUUAAUAGCCGACACAUCCUCCGUGUAGAGCGUGUAAGGCUCGUUAGGGACGAGUUUGAUCCCGUUGGCUUGCGAGUUUUCACCUAACCCGUAUAUGGACGCGUCUUUAGGUAACGAGGUUGAGAUCUCGAGGUACUGGUCCUUGAACACCAUCUCGCCAAAAGCUGAGUUAGAGCUUGUGUUGAAGAGCGUUUGGCCGUUGGAUCUACGUUUCACGGCGAAGCUGAACGGGUCUGUCGUGUAGCUGAAGAUGAGCUCCGAGCCGGAGAGUUCUUGAACUGUGAUCGGAGAUUUUCUUGAUUUUCCGAUCACUUUCCCCACCGGCGGCGGCUGUUCGCGGGGGAGGAGGUUGUAGGGGACCUCCCAUCGUUGUUUCUUGGCGUCUGUGAUGUGAACGCGGAGGCGAGUAUCGGUCUCGUGUCUGUGGGAAUCCAACGGUUAGGAAUCGAGGAGGUAGUGUAGGGUGCGAAGUAGAGGAUUAAGAGAGUGGUGCUAGUGCUACUUACUUGACGUAGAGGCGGAGGGUGGUGAUGUCUGAGCCGUAGAUUUUGUUCUUCUGUUUGACUUGGAGAUAGCCGAUGAAUCCACCGUCUGGAGAUUCUUCGAUUGAGAUCAAACGGUAGCCUUUGCCGAUGGUGUUGGAGCAGUGGAUGGGUGAGAAACAGAGGAUUAAAGCCACGAGAAGAGAAAGAGAUGAAAAAACUAUUCGUGAAGUGACCAUGGCUAUUUUUAUUCUAGUGAUACUCCACACUCUACAGUGUUAUGUGUAUAAUGAAGAAGAGAGAAAAGACCCUCGAUUAAAGAGCUCGAUGAUAAGUUCGCGAAACACUAAACGAGGGGAUAUAAAUAGUAGAAGAAAAUGUUUAGUCGUUCUUUUAUUUAUUUUAUAAAUAUAAAAAAACUGAUAUUACUAGUAUUAUUUAUCAAAGGGUCUGAUGAUGUCAACAAAAAAAUCAAAGGGUCUGAUAUUUAUUUAUGCGUGUAUCGAUUAAAAAUCGUUAAUACGGGGGGGGGCGGGGGGGCUUAAGCGGGCGGGCUAAAUGUGAAACUGGAGUUUUUUGGGCUUAAGCGGGCGGGCUAAACGUGAAACUGGAGUUUUUUUGCGUGCAGUUCAUUCGUAAAUCAUGGCAAGAUCAAGUGAAAUUCAGAGUUUAUUCCAUAAAUCUGUAGUCAAUUUUAUUUUCUUUUAAGUUGAAUAUGUAUAACCUUUUUAGGUGUCUGGUUAGAGGUUAUUUCCGAAAACCAAUCAGCUUUCAUACCGAGGAGGGCAAUUUCUCAUAAUGUAUUGAUAACUCACGAAGUGUUACAUUAUCUCAAGACUUCGGAAGCACACAAGAAUUGGUCUAUGGCUGUGAAAACAGAUAUUAGCAAAGCCUACGAUCGUCUAAAAUGGAAUUUCUUAGAAAGAGUCAUAUUCCAAAUGGGUUUCCACAUCAAAUUCGUCAAAUAGAUGAUGCAAUGCAUAACUACUGUCACAUACUCCUUUCUAAUUAAUGAUGAGGUGGCAGGGAAAGUCAUACCUUCUCGUGGGAUUCGACAAGGUGAUCCUAUUUCACCAUAUGUUUUCAUUCUCUGCGGCGAGGUCCUUUCUGGUCUUUGCAAAGAAGAUCAGCGUGAUGGUUCGAUGACUGGUAUCAGAGUGGCCACAAAAUGCCCCCGCAUAAACCACCUCUUAUUUGCUGAUGAUACGAUGUUCUUCAUCCACACUAACCACCAGAGCUGUAUCGCCCUGAAAGAUAUUCUAUCAGAAUAUGAGAAAGCAUCAGGGCAAAUGAUUAAUGCAAACAAGUCAUCAAUAUCUUUCUCAGCAAAAACUUCUCAAGAAGAGAGAACCCGAGUAAAGCAAACACUGGGAAUUGAUAAAGAAGGGGGAGUAGGAAAGUAUUUAGGUCUACCUGAGCUAUUUGGAAGGAAGAAAAAAGAUCUCUUUGCAUCUAUAGUAGACUGUAUCAAGCUGAGAGCCGUCUGUUACUCCUCUAGACAAUUAUCUCCUGCAAGGAAACUUAAACUCCUGAAAUCUAUCCUCACUGCAAUCCCAACGUUCUCCAUGUCCUGUAAGCAGAGAGCCGUCUGUUACUCCUCUAGACAAUUAUCUCCUACAGGGAAACUUACACUCCUGAAAUCUAUCCUCACUGCAAUCCCAACGUUCUCCAUGUUUUCCUCCUCCCUGUCAGCCUCUGCAAAAAAAAUUCAGUCAGUUUUGACACGGUUUUGGUGGGAUGGCAGUGACUCAAGAAAAAAAAUAUGUUGGAUAUCAUGGGAGAACCUUACCAAACCAAAGAGCUUAGGCGGUUUGAGCUUUAGAGACAUCCAAGACUUCAACAAAGCCCUCUUAGGCAAACUGGCCUGGAAACUCCUUACAAAACUAGACUGCUUACUAUCCAGAAUUCUCUUGGGAAAGUACUGUCACGCAGAUUCCUUCCUCAGAGUUCCAUGUAGCUCCUCUGCUUCACACGGCUGGAGAGGAAUCACUGCAGGAAGGGAUGUUAUCAUCCAACACCUUGGAAAAAUGAUUGGCAACGGUAACUCCACAAAGCUAUGGCAUGAACCCUGGCUCUCGGUGUCGACUCCCACAUCAAUCUCUGGACCUGUAACAAUUGAUGAAAAGGACCUCAAGGUAUCAGACAUUAUGACCAGAGAAACCGGAAAGUGGAACAAAGAAGCACUACUUAAACACCUACCCCAUCUGGUAGAGGACAUUCUGCUCAUCCAACCGAGCUCUACGGGAGCAGAAGAUGGCUAUGCGUGGCUUCUUAAUCCAUCAGGGGAGUAUUCAUCGAAGUCCGGAUACUUAGCCCUGCACCUAAAGGACUCCUCGGCCACUCGAAACAACAACCUUCCUGAUGACUUUAACUGGUACAAGUCAGUUUGGAGUCCUCAACUGCUUCCCAAAAUGCAAAUCUUUUUAUGGAAGUUCGUCCAAAACGCCAUCCCCACUGGAGAGAAUCUACAGAAGCGGGGUGUCUUGACAAACACCAACUACAUCAGAUGUGGAGAACAGGAAUCUACACGCCAUUUAGUCUUCCACUGUGAAUUUGCUAAAUAGGUCUGGAACCUCGCUCCCUGGUCCUCAACUUUGAAUGCUGCAGCAACUACCUCCUUUGGUUCGGAACUCCAGUUCUCUCGGCUGCGUGUUAAUCUCCCACCAGUGGGAAGUCCCACCAACCUCUUCCCAUGGAUCGCGUGGACGAUCUGGACUGCUAGGAACCUCUUGAUCUUCGAGAACAGAACUAUAAAUCCAGCAACAUGCAUUACCAGAGCAAUAAGCGCAGCGAAAGAGUGGGCGAUCGCACAAACUCUAUCUCCACUACCGGUAUCAAGGCCCCUUGGACAGCUCCCCCUCGCAUCGAACGAACCUAACUCUACGAUCUUCUGUUACACCGAUGCAUCCUGGAUCGCGAGUACCAAACAUGCAGGACUGGCUUGGAUCUUCACAGAUCGGGCAAAGAAGGAACUCAAUUGAGGAUCCCACUUCAGAAACCUCAUCUCAUCAUCCCUCCUUGCUGAGAGCCUAGCGAUUAGAGCUCCACUGCUCCACGCUUCUUCCCUCGGCUACACAAACAUCUGGAUUCACUCAGAUUCUCAAGAGCUCGUGCGAGCAAUCAAUGGGAAUCGGCGCCCGGUGGAGCUCUAUGGACCGCUGUCGGAUAUCGUCUCUCUAUCUCUGUCUUUCAACUUUUGUCGCUUCUCUUUUAUUUCCCGUUCAGACAAUGGGCCAGCUGAUAAACUAGCUAAAUCUUCUCUCUCCUUUGGGCAUAUUGGGCCUAGUUUGUAAGAAACCCAUCUUUAAGUUCUAAUCUAAUCAGUUGCACAAAAAAAAAGGUGUCUGGUUAGACUUUUCAAUAAUUUAACAUGUAAGAAUCCAUUAGCUUUCUGCAUACAAUUUACACAUAAAAUCUAUUAAAAUAUACUUUAAUUCAUUGAAUACACAACUUAAAAAAAAAACUAACGUUGUAGCACCAUUUCUGGAUGAAGUGAUUAAAAUUAUGAGAAGCAUAUUUAAAAAUAUCAGAUCCAAUUAGAUCAUAUAUUACUACAUAAGAACCUUGUAUUGACUAGUAGAAGAAUGGCAAAAAGAAAAAAAAAACAGUUUUCUUUCGUUUUGAAUAAGCUUAAUAAAAAAAAAAGCUAAUAGCAUGAUUAAUUGGGGGUUUUAAGGUAGAGUUUUUAUCGGAAUAUAAGAAACCGUCUCUUAACUUUUAACUAUAAAAAUUAAGAACUCUUAUUAAUCAUGCUGUGCUAGGUGCUUUUCACCACUCUUUUGGGAAUAGUUUAAAUAUAUUUUUGAACACAGAUCCUAGAUUGGUGAUUAUUUUGUUUUAAGUAAAAAGUGGUUAAAACAUAAGGAACUAAUUAGUUUUGGAUGCUGAUCUUUGUCUACACUCAGUAGAAAACUCAUUAUCUUGUUCUUGCACUUAUUAAUCUUCACAAUGCUCUAGCGAUUGGAUUAGUUAUUCACUUCAAAAACAAUUAAAUCACUAUAGUAAUUGAUAGUUUGUUAAACAAGGAAACAGUUCACCCACAAUGAGCAUAUCAAAAUUCUAGAAUAUUAUAAAACGAUAAUAAUUUUAAAAUUUCUACAACAAGACACCAAAUUUUCAUCACAAUAUAAUAAUUUUAGCUAGUCAUAUUAUAACAUAAAAUUAUUAUAUAACAAUAAUAAGAACUUGACUAUUUUAUCAGCAUGAUUUUUUAUACUAUAUCUUGAAAUUUAUCAUCACGUGGACCAAAUAUCUUCUUAUUUGAGAAUUAAUGUGACGUCCAAUAAAGCAAUAAAGAGUUUGAAUUGAUAUUAUCAAAGAAAAUCCAAGGAUGUGAUUUGUUUCAACGUGGCUCCAUACAAUAUCGGUCUCUAAAUUGAAGCGUGAUUCUCGGCUUUAUCAAACUAAUUACGUUGUCAGCUCAAUUUUAACGUUAACAAACAAACACCCUUACAAUUUUAUCAUAAGUAUACAUUCGAGGAAAUAUGAUCAGUUAUUAUUUUUUUGAGAAAAAAAGUCUCAAUUGUUUACCAAAAAAGAGAGUUCCUAACUAUUUCCAACAGCAAAAAUGAGAAAUUUCGAUAUCAAGUGAAAUAUUACUUUUUUAAAAAAUUACAUACAUAAAUAUAUACAUUGUCCAUCAAACUGAUGAAUCAGUUUAAUCUUUGUAUUGUAGUUCGAGAUUACAUGGCUUAACGAUUUAGAUUUGUAUAUGCUCAGACUGGUAUCCUGAGAAUAAGAUAGAAUAAAAAUUUUAAAAAUGAUAAUAAAAUAAUUGAAAAAAGAAAAACAAGGAUAAGUUUUUGACGGUGGUCGACUCCGGUGGCUUUCGCAGCACCGGAGUCGAGUUUCGUUGCUUUAUUGUUGUUUGCUCGUGUUGUUCUCUGAAGGCGUGGGGAGGAUUCGACUGAUUUGAUGGAUGUGAAGAUUCCGACACGGAGGAGCGUGGUGGCGCGUGAAGUUUAUUUUCAGAGUCAGGUCGCUUAAGUCAGAUCUUUUCUAGAUGUUGAUGACGUGUGCUGGUUGUUUCUCGCCAGCAUCAGAGUUUGCUUCUUCUUUGAACUCCUAGAUCUACUUGCCUUCUCGCUGGCCUUGUGCUUAAAGAGUUUGUUCCCUUUGUUCCUUCUGGUUUGAGCUGUAUCUAUCCUAUAAUGGGUUUCAGAUUCUCUCCCGCCUUCAUAGUUAGUCGUGAUUAGGGUCUUGUGUAGUUUGCAGUGUCUUUCCUAAUCUUCUAAGUUCAUCUUAGACUAAUCAGUCAUGGAGUGUAGAGAAUGGCUUAAUUUGUCUUUGUUCCAGCAACGGUGAAGCAGAGUAGUAGUGGUAUGUGGAGAGCUACUGAAGGUUAGUGUCGUGAAAAAGAGUUGGUUUCAAGUCACCUCUGAGUCUCUCAGGUUCUAAGACGUCCUUCUCCUGCCCUUCGAAUAAAUGUUACUUCUGUUCUUUCUUGGUCUAUGGAUUUCCUCGGUGGCUUCUAGGUGUUGAAGCAAUAGAAAGAGGUUGAGGCUUUAUAGUGUCCAGAUGAAGGCGUGGUUGAGAUGACAGCUCUCCCGGGUGUUUUUUUUGUUUUUGUUUAUGUUUUGGCUUCGUCUUAGUGGUGGUGUGUGGUAUGUGUAGUCAUCGUGAACGGGUGGUUCAGAUGAUGGUUCUUGCUCUUCAUGAAGAACUUCUACUUUUCAUGCUCUGUUUGUGGCGAGACAUCCGGCUACUCGUAAGAAAAUUAAGUAUGGUAUCUCUUCAUAAGUUAAGUUUUAGUUGAAAGAAUUUAGUUUGUAGCUUAAUGCUUCGUUUAUUAGUGGUCUGUCUCUUGGACUUUUGAUUCCCUUGUGUGGAUUUGGUUUCCAGGGAUAUUUAUGUUUUCCGUCGGCAUUUGUAUUUCUCUCUUGUGUAUUUAACAAAGUUAUCAAUGAAAACUCAGUUGGGAAAAAAAAGAUAAGUUUUUCGUUUGUAAACUUUAGAGUUAACAGAAGUGGUAUUUUCUCUAUCUAAUUAUAAUUAAAUUAAAUAUGAAAAUAGUAUUUUAGUUAACUGCUGAUUUUAGUGAAAUCCAGUGUAAUUUAAAAUUUAAGGGUAAUAAUAAUUUACUCUGUAGUGACCACAACCAUAUAGUAUCAAACAAAAAUAUAACUAGAUGCAAAGUGUGUUUGGAGAUAGUAAACCACCGAGAGCAGUAAUUAAGGUAGCGCAAGAAAAUAAUUUAAAACAUAAGAAAGAUUCCAAAUCGAUAAUGGAGUAUAUAGAUGUAGCGUCUCGAUUCAGGAGUUGAGUUGUACAUAUUGUCUAGACUACUAGUACUAUACUACUAUCACAUUCUUUUGUUUAAUUCAGCAUUCUAAUUUAUUAAAUCAUAUAAAACAAUCAAUCAAUCGCUGUAUUGACCUGAAAGAUUCACGAGAUCCAAAUUUGUAAUUCAGAUGCAUUUGUCAAUUAGUUAGGAAGUACAUCUACACAUGACUUCUUUUUUUGGAAACAUACUCUGAACAGUGAACACCGAACUCACAUAUAGAAUAUUUUUUAGUAUACUAGGAUAAUACGCUAAAAAUCUAGACCGACAUAAAAAAUAAGACCAAAUUAAAACAUAUCAUCAUCAACAAGAACGAAUUCAACUGAGUUACUUUGAAUUCGUGCGAUACUAGCUAACGAUUAUGAUAAAUUCAUUUAACUUCGUAACUAAAUUUUGAUCCGCGCUUCGAAAGUACAUAUUUAUUUUCGGUAUUAAAAAAAUUCUUUUAUAUGAAUUUUUAUAUAAGAUGUUGUAUAGUUAUGGGUGUACUUAUCCGGAACUGAAAACCGAAGCUCAUAAAUAACCAAAUGGAUCAUUUAUCUGGAACAAAAAAAACAAAAACUUAACCAUAAUCGAACCGAAAAACAAAUGAGUACAAGAACUUUUAAAAUAAAAUUAUAUAACUACGAAUAUUAAUUAUAUUUAAUUUGUAACUAAAUGAAUAUCCUAAGAAUAUAAUUUAUAAACUGAAUUACUUGAAAAACCGAAGUACCUAAAUAUUCUUUUAUGAAGUUUUAAAAAAUUAUCCAUAAAUACUGAAGUUUAAUAGUGUAUUUAUACUUAAAUGAUGCCAAGAAAUCCCAUCGUUGUUUCUUGGCGUCUGUGAUGUGAACGCGGAGGCGAGUAUCGGUCUCGUGUCUGUGGAAAUCCAACGGUUAGGAAUCGAGGAG